GCGCACGAUUUUCUGCUCUUGGGAAUUUAAAGCAGCUUCUUAAACAGUUUCUUUAUGCAUAAAAUUUACUUAUGUCAAGCUUUUAUGCACUUGUGAGUUCAGCAGAGUGCCGAGGCAUUCAAAUUCUAACAAUGCGUUAUUUCAAUAUAGUUUUGGGGGGUUUCUGGGACACCCUGUAUGCUUCUAUAAACUAGAACAGUCGUAAUUAUAGGCAUGUGAGUUAUCAAGAAUUCUAAAUUGGGUAGCAACGGCGUAAACAACCUUAGCCAAAUUUGUCUGUUGAGGAUAAAACCUGCUUUAUAUCUUUCUCUUUAUAUCUGAAACCUUCGAUAUAUCCUAGUGAGCAUUGUCAAACAUGGGCCAAAAAUUCGGGAAAAUUUUGGGCCCGUUCCAAAGCGUGGGUCUGUUGGGGGUACCAUCCAUAGAAAUGCUAGAUAUCUAUUCUAGUAUUUCUAUGGUACUACCAUCACUACAACAACACAACAAUAAACUGUAACUCUGAUCUCAGUAACUCAACCGGUUAACCUGGAUGUACUAUCACGCUUUUGCCUGCGUAAAGAGAUUUCGGAUCAACGUGUUUAAGUAUUUUAAACUUAGCUUCGUCGGCAUAGCCAGAUUCGAUCAUUUGUUCUGUGAUAUUUCGUGAUUCUCCUUCGUCAGAUUCGAACAGAUUCACGGACAUUGUCUUGUUUAAGGAGCCACUAAAACACAGAUAAUGGACAACUU
Paramuricea clavata is the source of this 726-nucleotide non-coding RNA. The record is from the annotation of a GenBank genome assembly. NCBI's taxonomy places the organism in Eukaryota, Metazoa, Cnidaria, Anthozoa, Malacalcyonacea, Plexauridae.